UACGAAGGGGGCUAGCGUUGCUCGGAAUCACUGGGCGUAAAGGGUGCGUAGGCGGGUUUUUAAGUCAGGGGUGAAAUCCUGGAGCUCAACUCCAGAACUGCCUUUGAUACUGAAGAUCUUGAGUUCGGGAGAGGUGAGUGGAACUGCGAGUGUAGAGGUGAAAUUCGUAGAUAUUCGCAAGAACACCAGUGGCGAAGGCGGCUCACUGGCCCGAUACUGACGCUGAGGCACGAAAGCGCGGGGAGCAAACAGG
This 253-nucleotide ribosomal RNA is filed under the name uncultured bacterium. RNAcentral's name for it is "partial 16S ribosomal RNA". It matches the Rfam family "Bacterial small subunit ribosomal RNA", at positions 524 to 776 of the family's 1533-position model. The record is from RNAcentral.